UCUGACCGAGCAACGCCGCGUGAGUGAAGAAGGUUUUCGGAUCGUAAAACUCUGUUGUUAGAGAAGAACGUUGCAUAGAGUGGAAAAUUAUGCAAGUGACGGUAUCUAACCAGAAAGGGACGGCUAACUACGUGCCAGCAGCCGCGGUAAU
This 151-nucleotide ribosomal RNA is filed under the name uncultured Lactococcus sp. Its description in RNAcentral is "partial 16S ribosomal RNA". It matches the Rfam family "Bacterial small subunit ribosomal RNA", at positions 382 to 524 of the family's 1533-position model. Lineage: Bacteria; Bacillati; Bacillota; Bacilli; Lactobacillales; Streptococcaceae. The record is from RNAcentral.